Mercenaria mercenaria is the source of this 1576-nucleotide long non-coding RNA. RefSeq lists it as uncharacterized. NCBI's taxonomy places the organism in Eukaryota, Metazoa, Mollusca, Bivalvia, Venerida, Veneridae. The record is from RefSeq and is a predicted model, not a curated record. The transcript is spliced from 3 exons.
UCUAUGAUACGUUUCUAUAGAGUCGGUAUCUGCAGUUGCAAUCAUCUCAAACAUAUUCUAUUUAUCGUCAGCCAUGUGAAGAUGGGUAUGUUUGCAAAGAAGACAAAGCCAAAGUUCCGGUAAAGAGAUGCUAUUAUUCAGAAAAAGAUUACCAAUGUAGCAAUGGCACCCGGGCGAAGGAAUGCGACUGCAAUUAUGAGUGUAGUGACAGUAUGGACGAAGCAUUAUGCUCAUGCACAGAAUAUAGUCAGGAAUUUGUAAGCAUUCCAGGAUAUUACAUCGACGGAGAUUAUGAGGUCGCCAAAGAAGAUGAUCACACAGAGAAAAGCUGCAUAGACUACUGCUUACGAGAACCAGACUGUGUAAGCUGCGAUCUCAAUACAAGUACAGACAGGUGCUAUCUAAGCUCUAUAUCCCCAGCGCAAGUUAAAGACGCAUUAGUUACAUCUCUAGACUCUAUCCUUUUUGUGAAAAAAUGCAAAAACUGUGUAAAAUAGAAUUACUACAGUACUGUAAACAUCUUUGAUUGAAUUUUAGCCAAAUGCUGUCCUUCUGUCCAUCAUUUUAAUAUAUUCGAUUGACUUAUAUUUGUUGGAACAAUCAACGAUUUCAAUCCCAAUCAGAAAAGUUAUAAUAUAUCAUAAGUAAAGAUUUUAUUCAGAAGAAAAUCACUGUUUGAGAUGCAGAUGAAUUACACUUAUAAUAAGUAACGGAAGUGCAAUAUGAGCGCUCUACGGUUGGUAAAAAGCAUGAAAUCAAUAAAUACCGUUUGAAUUUCAUGUUGGUAAAAAAGACAUAACUUCAUAAUGUUAACUAUGUUGUAUUCAAUCGUAUUUCAAUCAGUCUGGUCUAUAUGAGUCAUUAUUGUAAUACAUUGCCCAUGUAGGACAAUGAAAAUAUGUGUAAUCUUUUGCAAUAAGCAAAUAACAAAAUAAGCGACAAUGAAUUAUUGGUCAUUCAUCAGUCACAUUGACUUUCAUCUGGGGAAAAAAAUAUAAAAAAAAUGCCCAAGAAGAUGGUCACACAGAGCAAAGCAAAAAAAAUAUCCAUCAAUUUAAAGCUUACGCUUUUAUGGAUUUUUCAUAAUAUGAACUGACAGAAAUUAUAACGUGCCACUUUUAGCUUCCCGGAAAAUUUUAUUUUAAGGUCGAUUAUAAUGAAAUGUUUAAUGAAGGGCAGUUGAAGUAGCUAUUUCAUUUCCUGACACGGAUGUUAAAAUUUCAGAAAGUAAGGAUUUUCGGCGGGAUUGAAGUUUCAUCCUUUAUGGAGUCAAAAACCUUCCCAAAUUAUAAAGUUUCCAUUCGAAAUAUGACGGAGGCGGAUACAAUCUCCCCUCUGAUUGGGGUCUGGGGAGGAGGGGAAGACUAUGAUCUGCAUUUUUUGGAAUUAUAUUUAUAGCUGUAAUUAUGCUAUUAAUUCACAGUUGUUGCUUUCUGCACACGGUAUAUUUUAUCGAGUUUUACCGGUUAUUUUAAUAAUAUAACUGUAUUUCAGAAUAUAAACAUGAGACUGAAAUACGUUAUGUAUUUAAAUAGAUAAAUAAUAAUAGUAAUAUAUCUGGCUUUGAUGCAGACUU